Long non-coding RNA from Triticum aestivum (bread wheat), 1751 nucleotides. RefSeq lists it as uncharacterized. Lineage: Eukaryota; Viridiplantae; Streptophyta; Magnoliopsida; Poales; Poaceae. The transcript has 2 exons. The record is from RefSeq and is a predicted model, not a curated record.
UUCCUGUCCAAGUCCAUCCUUUGGUUUAUCUUAGUUGGCGUGAGAGGUGCAAAUGCGAGGAUAGACUAUGCUAUAGUUCUUCAAUUUCUUCUUGUUAAAAGAAAUAGUCUACCUGACUGCCAUUCCGCUUCGACUAAAUCUGUUAUUAUAAUAUAUUUUUCCAUGAAAUAUGGUCUCAUUGUUGCUUCUUGAGUAAAUCUUUCUGCGAAAUCAAGAAUUUCAGCAGAGAGUAAUAGCCGUCCGGGACACAAAAAUUUGAAGUAUAGGGCAAGCAUUCUAAUUGUUCACACAUGAAGUAAUACUCUUGCAAGAGCUACACACUAAGUACUUUAAUUAUAAUCUUUUACGCUCAGGAAAAAGAUUCAACCUACAAAUCUUGAAAGCAUUUUUUGAAAUGUUUUUGCUGAGUACCUUAGAAAUCCCAUAGAAAAGGCUAAUAAGCAAAAUUUCCUGCUUAGUUAUAGUUCUGUGAUUCAUUGCUAAUAAUCGUGCUUCUAUACGGCCCUUGAAGGAUUUCCAGGUGCUGUUCGAUGGAAUGCUCAGUGGGAUGUGUGAAUUUUAUGGUCAGAUUUUCCUGCCAGGUUGAAUAGCUGAUGCAGUGCAUUGAGUGUUUUCCAUCUACCAGAUUUUUCCUAAUUGUUAUGUAGGCUUGUGGAUGUUUUGGUCGAGCUUGUGCUUGGAUUAUAAAUGUGACGUUUUUAGCUCUGUGAAAGUAAAGAUGCCUCGAUAUAAUUUGUGCCCAUAAUACAUGUUUUUUAAUGAUAAGAUGUAUCACAUAUGCUGCAGGUUUUGUAUGAAUUUCCAUUCCGACCUUUCUUGAUCUCAACUGCUCUUAAUUUGUUUUAUUGUUCCACCAAUUUUGUUUGUGCAAAAUCUACCAGCCCAAAAUUUUCUUUUGCUUUUGUUAAACCAUUGGCUCCUAGAAUGUUUGUUUAUAUAAGAUGAUUCUGAGGGAAAGAGUUCUAUCUAUUCUGUGGAGCGGAAUAGAUGUUUCUGUUGAGUUUGGAUUUGCUAUGAAGAAGAUUUACUUUUGCCUGAUCUACGACUUGGAAGAAAUACAAACUUGAACUUUCCUACGAAAGCAUAUGGGAGAUCCUAUUUCAUCGUCCACCUCGGAUGCCAAAACAGUUCCUUCUGAUGCAGGCUGGGUCAGCCGUGCCAAUGUGCGAGAAGCAUUCGCCAAUCGCCGCGUGUUUGAUGUACAGGACGUGGGAAAACCCUGGAUGCCAAUCCCCUCUUGUCUGUGGUGAAGAUGGUUGAACCAGAGCAGAUCAGUUGUUGCAUAUUUUUAUACCACUCGAUCCAUAUGUUUCAUCAUCUGCGGAACACCAGAGAAGGGAUAUGUUGUUGUACAUGAGGUAUUAAUAAAGUUUCGCGUUCUUUGUUCUGGUGGAUUUGGUGCGUUGGGUUGCCAUGUAUGCUGAAUAUAUUUUCCUUAGAUUGCUCUUGUGUUUUUGGUGCAAAUUGAUCACAGAGGGCCUAGGAGGGUAAUUCUAACAAGUGAUGCUCUAAUAUUCACUUAUUCAGUUGCGUUCUGGAAUGACCUCUUUCUGCUUCCUCUUGUAAGCUUUCGUUUAUUUCGUUUGUCUGCUGUUUUCUUCCUUCUGUAUUUUUUUUCCUUUCUUUGGUGCUGGCGGCCAAAUUUAGAGGCUAAUUUGUUUCCUUUCAAGGAGGAAGUAAUAUAUGAGUUUUCUUUUCACUUCCUUGCUUUUGCUUAAAUACAAUCGCUUGUUUAUCGACAAAGGAAUCAG